This is a long non-coding RNA of Pogoniulus pusillus (Red-fronted tinkerbird), 1766 nucleotides long. RefSeq lists it as uncharacterized. Lineage: Eukaryota; Metazoa; Chordata; Aves; Piciformes; Lybiidae. The record is from RefSeq and is a predicted model, not a curated record. The transcript is spliced from 2 exons.
UGGCCCCAGGAAAGGCAAGCCCCAAGCUUGCCCAUUGUGGGCAGAAGGAUCCUCCUCGGAUCAUCACCGGUGAGUCCCUGUGGUGCCUCACUGGGUGAAUGGUGGAGGGGAUUCAAAGGCCGGGGGGCCUGGUUGGCCCCCCGGCUCGGUAGGGCUAGGCUUCAUGAUUGCUCUAACAUCAUUGCAUAGGCACUGGCUGGGUCUCCUCACUUAGGCUAAGCUCCUCUGUGUUUAGCUGCUUCUUUUUGCUUACUCAUGAUUAGCUGAAGUACUUGGUGGAACUGGAAGCUCACAGCUGAGAAGUAUUGUGGUGUUACCUGAAGUACUUGGCUGAACUGGAAGCUCAUGGGUCAAUUGGCAUUUUAAUGUGUAGUAUUAAACCAACUUAAAGCUGAACAUGGAAUAGAUUUGCGUACAUCGAUGAACACAUGGGAGCAGAUCUCCCUCCCAGCUGCAUUUCCUGGACUCAGAAUCACCUGAAGACUGUUUUCAUAAAAUCAGAGUGGUUUGGGUUAAAAGAGACCUUAAAGAUCAUCUAGCUCCAACUCCCCUGUCAUGCACAAGGGCACCUCCUGCUAAAGUAAUGUGCUCUAUGCCCCACCCAGCCUGGCUUUCAACACUUGCAGGCUUGGAGCCUCCACAAUCUCUCUGGGCAACCUCUUCUAGUACCUCACCACCUUCCGUGGGAAGAAUUCUAUCCUUGGCUAAUCUAAAUCCAGACUCCUCAGUUUUGAAGACAUCACUCCUCAUCCUGACACUCCUAACUUUGCAAAAUGUCCUCCUUCAGCUGUCCUGUAAGUCCCAUUUUUCUGAGGGAUGUCACCUCACAGAAAGUGUAAGGAACACAGCCAGGUCCAGCACUCCUGGCCAGGUGACUUCCCAUCCCUGCUCUACAGCAGAAUAUUCCUCUUCACUGACCCUGGACAUUGGCACCUUCUUACAACAGCCAUGGAUACAACUGAAAGUGACUGUUACUUACAGUUAUAUUUACAAAAUGAUUGUGUAUUAUUUUAUCUGGAGGAUGUCCAGAGGAGGCCACAGCAAUAAUGCAAUGGCUGGAACCUCUCUGCUGGGAGGACAGGAUGAGACAGUUGGAAUUACUCAGCCUGGAGAAGGCUCCUGGGAGACCUUCUAGUGGCCUUUCAGUGCUUAAAGGGGGUGAUCAGAAAGCUAGGAACAGACUUUUGAGCAGGGCUUGAGGUCAGAGGACAAGGAGUGAUGGUUUAAACUAAAAGAGGCAGAUUCAGACUUGAGAGAAGAGAGGAAUGUUUAACACAGAGGGUGGUGAAACCCUGACCUAGGUUGCCCAGAGAUGUGUUAGAUGUCCAUUCCCUCAAACCAUUCCAAGUCAGGUUAUCUGGGGCUCUAAGCAACCUGCUCUAGUUUCAGAUGUGCUGCUGACUGCAGGGAGGUUGGGCUAGAUGAGCUUUAAAUGAUACCAGCCAUUGAAGAAGAGGCUUGACCCUGGUGAUCCCUCAGCUUUCUCCUGCAGAUGCUAUCCAUGGGCUGCAAUCCGUUGUUGAACAGUUGAGGGUCCCCUGUUCUGGCUGCUCCUCGCUGCAGCCCAAGGUGUGGCACAAGCUGUGGCAGAGGCCUUGGUGUGCCCAGGGGCAAGUCUCAGAAUUUUUGUGCAGCCCAGCUCUUGGAAGGAACUCUUCCCAUCAAAUUUCCCCUUGCUAGAUGCAGCCUUUGGCUGUGCAACUCUGCCCUGCACUUCAGAAGGCGCAAAGCCUGAGCUGGGAAGUCUCAGCAUUGACCAGAGCUAC